UACAGAGGGGGCAAGCGUUAUUCGGAAUUAUUGGGCGUAAAGGGCGCGUAGGCGGCUUUGCAAGUGACGGGUGAAAUCCCUCGGCUUAACCGAGGAACUGCCUGUCAAACUGCAUGGCUUGAGACCAGGAGAGGUGAGUGGAAUUCCCAGUGUAGCGGUGAAAUGCGUAGAUAUUGGGAGGAACACCAGUGGCGAAAGCGACUUCCUGGACCAAUACUGACGCUCAUGUGCGAAAGCGUGGGGAGCAAACAGG
This 253-nucleotide ribosomal RNA is filed under the name uncultured bacterium. RNAcentral's name for it is "partial 16S ribosomal RNA". It matches the Rfam family "Bacterial small subunit ribosomal RNA", at positions 524 to 776 of the family's 1533-position model. The record is from RNAcentral.